RNAcentral lists this ribosomal RNA (497 nucleotides) under uncultured bacterium. Its description in RNAcentral is "partial 16S ribosomal RNA". It matches the Rfam family "Bacterial small subunit ribosomal RNA", at positions 28 to 507 of the family's 1533-position model. The record is from RNAcentral.
GAUGAACGCUGGCGGCGUGCCUAAUACAUGCAAGUCGAGCGAACGGACGAGAAGCUUGCUUCUCUGAUGUUAGCGGCGGACGGGUGAGUAACACGUGGAUAACCUACCUAUAAGACUGGGAUAACUUCGGGAAACCGGAGCUAAUACCGGAUAAUAUUUUGAACCGCAUGGUUCAAAAGUGAAAGACGGUCUUGCUGUCACUUAUAGAUGGAUCCGCGCUGCAUUAGCUAGUUGGUAAGGUAACGGCUUACCAAGGCAACGAUGCAUAGCCGACCUGAGAGGGUGAUCGGCCACCCUGGAACUGAGACACGGUCAAGACUCCUACGGGAGGCAGCAGUAGGGAAUCUUCCGCAAUGGGCGAAAGCCUGACGGAGCAACGCCGCGUGAGUGAUGAAGGUCUUCGGAUCGUAAAACUCUGUUAUUAGGGAAGAACAUAUGUGUAAGUAACUGUGCACAUCUUGACGGUACCUAAUCAGAAAGCCACGGCUAACUACGUG